CCGCCUGGGGAGUACGGCCGCAAGGUUAAAACUCAAAUGAAUUGACGGGGGCCCGCACAAGCGGUGGAGCAUGUGGUUUAAUUCGAUGCAACGCGAAGAACCUUACCUGGUCUUGACAUCCACGGAAGUUUUCAGAGAUGAGAAUGUGCCUUCGGGAACCGUGAGACAGGUGCUGCAUGGCUGUCGUCAGCUCGUGUUGUGAAAUGUUGGGUUAAGUCCCGCAACGAGCGCAACCCUUAUCCUUUGUUGCCAGCGGUCCGGCCGGGAACUCAAAGGAGACUGCCAGUGAUAAACUGGAGGAAGGUGGGGAUGACGUCAAGUCAUCAUGGCCCUUACGACCAGGGCUACACACGUGCUACAAUGGCGCAUACAAAGA
This 376-nucleotide ribosomal RNA is filed under the name Escherichia coli. RNAcentral's name for it is "bacterial SSU rRNA". It matches the Rfam family "Bacterial small subunit ribosomal RNA", at positions 869 to 1245 of the family's 1533-position model. Lineage: Bacteria; Pseudomonadati; Pseudomonadota; Gammaproteobacteria; Enterobacterales; Enterobacteriaceae. The record is from RNAcentral.